Molecule: small nucleolar RNA, 132 nt
Filed under: Sander lucioperca (pikeperch)
Lineage: Eukaryota; Metazoa; Chordata; Actinopteri; Perciformes; Percidae
Description: Small nucleolar RNA SNORA47 (ENSSLUG00000013205.1)
Rfam family: Small nucleolar RNA SNORA47
Source: Rfam by way of RNAcentral
CGGAGGACUGAGAAGGUUGAGCAGCUUGUGCUGUGCUGUUACAACUGGUUAUAACCUCCAAGAGUAACGCACAAACCACUCGAUUGAGCAUCUUUGUCAUGAGCUGAUUUGUAGUGUUUUUGUGAACAAAGA